Carassius auratus (goldfish) is the source of this 5723-nucleotide long non-coding RNA. The record is from Ensembl. Lineage: Eukaryota; Metazoa; Chordata; Actinopteri; Cypriniformes; Cyprinidae.
GCACUGUGAGCGGAGGCUUACAGCAAAGCUGCCUUAUCCACAGCAUUACAGACUCUAAGAAAGGAUUUAUUUUUAAUUCUCGAUUAGAUAGAAUGUCUCUGCUAGACGAAAGUAGAAAGAACACACACACACUCACAUUAGUGUGAUCAUCAUCAGCCUCUGAUCACACACACAGCACACAGAGAGAGAGAGAGAGAGAGAGAGAGAGCAGGAGGAACGCGCUUUCCACCUCCAGAUGCAUCUCUGAGGCACACACACAGCGUCAGGAGGCGAUGCUGCUCCCUCUCUGACAGACCCUGGAGUUGCACUGGAUCUCAGAUGCGCUUGGAGCUCGAGCGGACGGUCACUGAUGACUUCACACGCGCUGCUGCUCUACGGGCUCGGGUUCACUUUAGCAUCGGCACUGCUUUCCACACAGGUCGCCGGCCUGCAGUGUUACGGCUGUAACGUCUUCCACGGACAGAAGUAUGUGGACGUGGGCUGCACUAAUCCAGAGGUCAUCACGUGCACACACUCGCACAAGGGCUUCAAGCAUCGCUUCUGCAUCAGGACCGAGAGCACGGCGCUGGGCAUCGUCCUCACCAGUGGCUGUGCCACCUCACGCCACUGCCAGCAGCAGGAACUGCCUGGAGUCUCCAUCCACUGCUGCGACUCGGACCUGUGCAACAGCGCCUCCCUCCGGCCACCACAUUCACUGCAGCAUGCACUGCUGCUGCUCGUGCUUGCCCGGAUGUGCUUAUGAUUCACUGCAUGAUGACCUCUGAGAAAGUGAAAGUGGACAGAAUGUUGGUCAGCCAGAUACUCCACACAGCUUCCUGAUGCGAUGCAGAGGCAUCGGCAUCACUCUUCAUGUGUGUUCAUUGUGAUUAUGUGAACAGUUGUUCUAACAGAUGAUAGGUUCUGUUCUGCUGGUUAGCACAGAACUUUACAGUCCUGUUUUGCAUGUACAUAUGUACUAAUUAUAGUAAUUACAAUAACUGGUAAUCAUUAGGCACUAUUACUGAACUGAACCAACUGAUUUAAAUGAAGAUCAUCUUCAUGUUAAAGGUCACCGUUCACGUUCACAGAAAAAACUAAAAUGUACUGUUAAUCUACUACUCAUCCUCAGGCCAUCCAAGAUUUAGGUGAUGUUUGUUCUUUCAAAAAAAAACAAAAACAAAAAAAAACAGUAAAGACACAUUUAAGAUAAAAAUUUGGGCCUUGUUGAUUCAUAAAAUGCAUGUCAAUGACUACUGACAUUUUGAGAGUAAAAAAAAACAAAACGAAAAACCUUUCCGGUCAACACAUAAUACCUGUAGCACCUGAUAAUAUAUUGAAGUCUUAUGAAGUGAAAAGAUCAGUAUGUGCAAGAAACUGAACAUUAUGUACAACAUUAUUACUUGUAAUUCAGAUCGUCAGGCAAAUGGUCCAGAGUAAUGUUCAGUUCACAAACAAAUCAUUCUUUAGAUUUGGUAGUUUUUAGUGAACUAAAUCGGACUUAACUCUCUGUUCAAAGCUCAAGUUACUUAAUCAAAACUUAGACGUCCGACAGUUCAAUUCAAUUCAAGUUUAUUUUAUUGGAUUUACUGACAGUCACUCAGUAAAUCCUUUAAUGAAUGAACUAAUUAUGCGCUUCAGUUCCUCCAACAGUCACCUAACCGAGGAACCGUACCGAAGACUGAUGAGCUGCUGAUAUGAGCGUGUUUGAACUGAGCACUUAAAUGAAGGAGUAAAUUAAAGCUUUUAUGGUUUUUCUUUGUUUAUGCAAAACUGGUGAACUGAUGAAGACUAGUUUAUUCACUUUUUUUCAUGUUUCACAUCAUUAUUGGGUGCUUUAAUAAUAUUAUUGUGUAAACAUGAUUAGAUGUAAACAAUAUGGUAAAUCAGUUAUUUGAACUAGUUCAUUGAAAUAAUCCAUCUGAAAGAUCCAGUUCAUAGAAAAGCAUCAGAUUUCCCCGUUUGUAUAAGGCUAUGGAUUACAGGCAAUUUUGUAAAUAAUAUUCAGUUUCUUGCACAGUCUAAUCAUUUUGCUUCAUAAGACCUCAAUAUAUUGUCAGGAGCCACAGGUAUUAAUUUUGUGUUGCCUGAUAUGCUUUUUUUUUUUUUUUUUUUUUUGAAUUUUUCCAUUUUAUGAAUAGAAGGACCAUGAUUUCAGCUAAAAAUCUUCUUUACUUUUCUACAAAAGAAAAACAGUCACCUAUAUCUUUGAUGUUAAAUUUCCAGUAUAGCAAAUUUUAAUUACUGGGAGAACUAUCCCUUUAAAUCCUUUUUAAGUGUUGCUAAUUUAUAGUAUCUAGUAUACUUUAAGUGCACAUACUGUAAAAUGAAGUGCAGGUGAACUUCGUAUCUUUGUAAAUACUAAUAUUCUGUUGUUGUUCAGUCUGUGAACUUGUCAAGUGUAUAUCAGAAAAAAAGUAUAAACACAAUGUUUGGAAAAAUUUGAUUACCACACAUUUCCACAUAUAUUGUCAUUUAUUUUCCGUGAAUGUGUGCUCAGUAAACAGUAUUUGAUCUUCAUAUAACAGACAGAUUUCAAGGAGUCAAAGUAAAGUGAAUAUGAAUGCAUUUUAAGCAUGCUCUUGCUCUUAUUGACUGUCAUAUCUGUUAAAGAACAAAUUUUUAAAUUGAGUUUAGAAGGAAAUAUAGCCAUCCUUUGUGAUUAUGUUAACUGUUUUUAAAUCAUCUUAAUAAAGAAAAAGUCUGAAGGCUACUGGAAAUAUUUUGCUGUGAAUUCACAUAACUAAUUAAUGUGACAUUACUGAAGUUUUAGAAGGUUUGUGUGUCUGAGGACUAAGCAGAACUAUUAUUUAAAAUUCUAAUAUUUUAAUAUUUCAAAAAUGAGUUCAAUUUUAAAAUUAGAUGAUGUCAUGGCCUGGGAUAACAGAGGACUCAAAUGCAGAGGAGUUUGUGAGAAGAAAGAUCUUUAUUCUCAACAGGAAAAAACACAGAGUAAAAUAAACAAUAAUUAAACACUGUGAACAGGUCACUGGAGAUUCCAGAGCUGGCCGGCAAAGAAUGCAAACCACACAAGCUGCCAGAUCUCCUCUCUACGAGUCAUGAGGAAUAGGCACAACGUGGGUAAGUGAUGGCUUUGCACAACAACACAAGACGGCAGAAUACUGAACAGACAAAACAUUCUACUCAAGACAAAGGACAAGAAAAGCAGAGACAUAUAUGUGGAACAUUGAGAGGCAUAACAAAACAGUAGUGGAUCCAAGUGCAGGCUUUUAUUAGAAUCGUGGUCAAAACAGGCAGCAUUUAACAACAGUAAACAGGUAUAAUCCAGGGUGAGACAAAAGAGUACUCCACAAAACAGGCGAAGGUCAGGGCAGGUAGCAAUAAGACAUCAGAAACAGGAUUGGACAAUGGACUAGCUGGAACCCAGCAUCUCUUCUCUGGACCAUAGCCUUCCCAGUCUACCAGGUAUUAGUGACCUUUACCCCUAAGUCUCACAUCACUUAUCCGCUGAACCGUAAAGGCUGGCAAGGGCCGUGAAGGGACAGACAGUGGCUGGAGUAGCCCUGCUAGGGAUCGAUUGGAGCCCUUACCCGCAGUACAAAUUGGCCAGUCUGACACAAACCAUCAAUCAUUCUGUACCACAUACUGCCACCAAAACCGCUGCUUGAUUAACAUGCACGUACGAGUCACUCCGGGGUGGCAAGCUAGUUCGGAUGAGUGGCCAAACUGUAGAACGCUAGUUAGAAGGUGCAGGGAUAUAUUCUCUUGUCCAAAGAUGAUAUUUGAGACAAAACAGCUCUAACCCCCACAUGGGAUAAAUCCACCUGCACAACGAACUGAUACUGACUAAAAACCUAACAUUGUUCGGGAGGCAGACACACUCUUGCAGUUUAAAUCUAGAUUAAAGACCCAUCUCUUUAAGCUGGCAUACACAUAACAUACUAAUAUGCUUUUAAUAUCCAAAUCCGUUAAAGGAUUUUUAGGCUGCAUUAAUUAGGUAAACUGGAACCGGAAACACUUCACAUAACACCGUACUUUCUACAUCAUUAGAAGAAUGGCAUCUACGCUAAUAUUUGUCUGUUUCUCUCUUGUUCCGAGGUCACCGUGGCCACGAGAUCCAGUCUGUGUCCAGAUCAGAGGGUCACUGCAGUCACCCGGAUCCAGUACGUAUCCAGACCAGAUGGUGGAUCAGCAACUAGAAAGGACCUCUACAUCCCUGAAAGACAGCGGAGACCAGGACAACUAGAGCCCCAGAUACAGAUCCCCUGUAAAGACCUUGUCUCAGAGGAGCACCAGGACAAGACCACAGGAAACAGAUGAUUCUUCUGCACAAUCUGACUUUGCUGCAGCCUGGAAUUGAACUACUGGUUUUCGUCUGGUCAGAGGAGAACUGACCCCCCAACUGAGCCUGGUUUCUCCCAAGGUUUUUUUCUCCAUUCUGUCACCGAUGGAGUUUCGGUUCCUUGCCGCUGUCGCCUCUGGCUUGCUUAGUUGGGGUCACUUCAUCUACAGCGAUAUCAUUGACUUGAUUGCAAAUUAAAACAGACACUAUUUCAACUGAACAGAGAUGACAUCACUGAAUUCAAUGAUGAACUGCCUUUAACUAUAAUUUUGCAUUAUUGAGACACUGUUUUCCUAAUGAAUGUUGUUCAGUGCUUUGACGCAAUGUAUUUUGUUUAAAGCACUAUAUAAAUAAAGGUGAUUGAUUGAUUGAUAAGACUGCUCAGGGGUAUUGAAAAUGGGAGCUGAAACUAAACAACUCUUUAAGUUUACAAACACGGCUUGAGAUGCAUUUACCUUGGUGACAUCCAUUCGGAUACCUUCUGGUAAGAAAAUAAAUCCCAGGAAUGGAACUGAACGUACCUGAACCAAGCACUUCUCCACCUUGGCAAAUAAACAAUUCUGUCACUGGAGCACUUUCCUGACGUGCUGGACAUGAUCGUGCAUGUUAUUAUAGGACAUCAGGAUGUUGUCAAUGUAUACAAAAACAAACUAGUUGACCAUGUCUCUUAGCACGUCAUUGAUGAGUGCCUGGACGACCGCCAGAGAGUUUGAAAGCAUACAGCAUAACCAAACCGAUGUUAUCAUAGGCAAAGGAUAACGAUUCUUCACCGUGAUGUCAUUCAAUCUCUGAUAGUCAAUACAGGGGCGCAGCAAACCAUCUUUCUUCUCCACGAAGAAGAACCCCACCCCAGCUGGAAAGGAAGAGGGGCGGAUGAUGUCUGCUUCCAGAGAAUUGUGUAUAUACCUCUCCAUUGCCAUCUCCAUCUCUGGUCCAGACAGAAAGUAAAGGUGCCCCUUAGGUGGAGAAGUGCCAGGCCUCUGCACAGUCAUACAGUCAUACAGGUGGUACAGAGGCAGAGAUGAAGCUCAGGACUUACUGAAAACUACUCUCAAGUCAUGGUAAACCUCUGGUACAUCCACCAGGCUCACCGGCUCCUCCUGCAACACAGAUAGAGACCAAACAGGGAAAAAUGCAGCACCCAAACACUGAGCUAAACAAAAAGGGCUAGGGUGUGGCCAGCUCGGAAUCCAUGAGAUCGACCUCCGAGACAGUCAGUGCAGACAACUGAUAAACAGCCCCCUUGAUCUGUAACAAGACUUGAAACUCUGAACAACCACCAGAUGGGAGUCGAGUAGUAGUGACGCUCUCCAUACUCUCUCUCUCUUGCAUGGUAAAUGUUGCCCCACUACAGGGAACAAAGCUUCCAUGUGUCCUGCCUUCCCACAGUAGAGACACAGCUGAUUAGCCAGGUGAUGACGUCACUCCCCCAUGGUCAGCCAUG